AAAUAAGAUUAGGUUGGUGCAAAAGUAAUUGCGGUUUUUGCCCUUACUUUUAAAUGGCAAUUACUUUUGCACCAACCUAAUAGGUACAUGU
This 91-nucleotide microRNA precursor is filed under the name Chlorocebus sabaeus (green monkey). RNAcentral's name for it is "miRNA (ENSCSAG00000026123.1)". Lineage: Eukaryota; Metazoa; Chordata; Mammalia; Primates; Cercopithecidae. The record is from RNAcentral.